RNAcentral lists this transfer RNA (71 nucleotides) under Marmota monax (woodchuck). Its description in RNAcentral is "tRNA.Ala". It matches the Rfam family "tRNA". From Rfam's summary of the family: Transfer RNA (tRNA) molecules are approximately 80 nucleotides in length. Their secondary structure includes four short double-helical elements and three loops (D, anti-codon, and T loops). The record is from RNAcentral. Lineage: Eukaryota; Metazoa; Chordata; Mammalia; Rodentia; Sciuridae.
GAGGUUGGAGCUCAGUGGUAAAGCGCUUGCUUUGCAUGCAUGAGGCCCUGGGUUUGAUCCUCAGCACCACA